RNAcentral lists this ribosomal RNA (433 nucleotides) under uncultured bacterium. Its description in RNAcentral is "partial 16S ribosomal RNA". It matches the Rfam family "Bacterial small subunit ribosomal RNA", at positions 29 to 507 of the family's 1533-position model. The record is from RNAcentral.
AACGAACGCUGGCGGCAUGCCUAACACAUGCAAGUCGAACGAGACCUUCGGGUCUAGUGGCGCAUGGGUGCGUAACGCGUGGGAACCUGCCCUUAGGUUCGGAAUAACUCUCCGAAAGGGGUGCUAAUACCGGAUAAUGUCUUCGGACCAAAGAUUUAUCGCAUUUGGAUGGGCCCGCGUUGGAUUAGCUAGUUGGUAGGGUAAAAGCCUACCAAGGCGACGAUCCAUAGCUGGUCUGAGAGGAUGAUCAGCCACACUGAGACUGAGACACGGCCCAGACUCCUACGGGAGGGAGCAGUGGGGAAUAUUGGAAAACGGGCGGAAGCCUGAUGCAGCAAUGCCGGGUGAGUGAUGAAGGCAGGAGGGUAGUAAAGCUCUUUUACCCGGGAUGAUAAUGACAGUACCGGGAGAAUAAGCCCCGGCUAACUCCGUG